This 1139-nucleotide long non-coding RNA is filed under the name Anser brachyrhynchus (Pink-footed goose). RNAcentral describes it as "lncRNA (ENSABRG00000008647.1)". The record is from RNAcentral. Lineage: Eukaryota; Metazoa; Chordata; Aves; Anseriformes; Anatidae.
UUUUCUUUUUCCUUUUCUUUUUCUUUUUUUUUCAUGUUUGAAAUUAUAUGUCUUUAAAGCUCUUUUAGUAUCCGUUCCUCACUUGAUUGACAUUGUGCAUUACGUUUUACCCCUUCUGUACCAAAAAUACAAGAAAUAAAAAUGUCACUUUCUGACCUCAUGUCAAGAGCUUGUGUAUUUCUUUUGACUUGUUCUCUUAGAAACAUUUUAGUUAGCUCAUUAGGACUAGAUACUUCCUGCUUCAAUUAAGGACACAAAAAUGUUAAUAUCCUUGCUUUAUAGCUUAGAAAUAUUCAUAGUCUGCAGCCUGAAAUGUUUUCUGAUAAGCUGAGUAUCGUAUGCGUUAAGUGCUAUAUAGGUAUUACAUGCACAACCUUGAAAUACAUCCUUAUAUAAACUCCAGUUUGCAUGAAAUGCUAAAAUCAGCAUUUUCAGUAGUGCUUUGGUCUCACACAACAUUGCUUAAAUAGUUGUAUGGGCAGCUUCAGUUGCCCAGUUUCAGUUUCACUGUUCUUGCCAGAAUACAUGUUGACUUGCAAAACAAUACAGCAACACAGAACAUCCACUUUCUGAGUCUGUUGUCCAACUGUGUGCCUGCAGUUCACCUCCUGAGGUCUUACACCGCUGACCUAUGGCCUGACAACUCAAAUUUAUUUGAAGCUUUUUUAUCUCUCUCUCUUUCAGCUGGUGCGCUCCUCAAAGAUGGAACUGAGCAUUGUGUAUGGAGGGACAAGAUGUAUCGCCUGCUCCAGCAAAAGAGCAGCAUCUCUACCAAUGAGAACAACAAAUAAAAACCAUCUACACACCAUACGAGACCAAGACACUCAAUUUUAUACUGUGUAAAAGUGUGAUGUAAUGUAUGGUAACAGUGUUUAAUGGCAGAUAGCAGUACUUAGUGGCAUAUGAACUUACCUAAAGUAGAACAGAAUUCAGUCCUGAUAAGUCCCAAGACAGGAUUUCUGUCUUAUGUGUCAUGAUGAAAGAGACUCCAUUUGUUGCAUACAAAAGAAAAGUCAUACAACAGUAGAAAAUGUUCUCAAUUCAAUUAAGAAAGUGGGUUCCGAAGCAUAAAAAAGCUGAUGACUGCAUUAUGCCCUGAGCAGGUCUCAGAUGAUUUUGGUUUUGUCCAUCAAAAUAAG